ACGGAGGGGGCUAGCGUUGUUCGGAAUUACUGGGCGUAAAGCGCACGUAGGCGGACUGAAAAGUUGGAGGUGAAAUCCCAGGGCUCAACCUUGGAACUGCCUUCAAAACUAUCAGUCUGGAGUUCGAGAGAGGUGAGUGGAAUUCCGAGUGUAGAGGUGGAAUGCGUAGAUAUUCGGAGGAACACCAGUGGCGAAGGCGGCUCACUGGCUCGAUACUGACGCUGAGCUGCGAAAGCGUGGGGAGCAAACAG
Molecule: ribosomal RNA, 251 nt
Filed under: uncultured prokaryote
Description: partial 16S rRNA
Rfam family: Bacterial small subunit ribosomal RNA
Source: RNAcentral